Molecule: long non-coding RNA, 384 nt
Organism: Vidua chalybeata
Lineage: Eukaryota; Metazoa; Chordata; Aves; Passeriformes; Viduidae
Exons: 3
Source: RefSeq, a predicted model, not a curated record
CCACGCGCCCGAGACACGGAGCUGUGUCCGGGAACCUGCGGCAGCAAACCCCGGCAACACGUGGAAGCUACGCCACAGCCGGGCUCCCAAGAGCCGCGUGCAGCCGGGGAGAGCGAAAACCCACGCCGCAUCCACCAGGAUCCCAGGACCUUUUAUGCAAAGCUGCAUUUUUCCAAUGAGUCUCCUACAUGGAUGGCUGUAAUGCUUGGUAUUUUGAUGCUUGGGUCAGCAUAAGAGCAAGAGUGGCCAGCCCACGCCGGUGCGCUGAACGUCAGAGCGCCCAGACCAUGCGGCACCCCGGUCCGGCCGAGAAGCAGCGCCUUUAGCCGGGCUCCUGAGCUGCCCCGGAUUGGGGAGAAGAACGCAAAGCAGCAAAAGCGUAUA